Molecule: ribosomal RNA, 439 nt
Filed under: uncultured bacterium
Lineage: Bacteria
Description: bacterial SSU rRNA
Rfam family: Bacterial small subunit ribosomal RNA
Source: RNAcentral
CAGUGGGGAAUCUUGCGCAAUGGGGGAAACCCUGACGCAGCAACGCCGCGUGGGUGAUGAAGGCUCUCGGGUCGUAAAGCCCUGUCAGGUGGGAAGAAACGUGCUGAUACGAAUAAUAUCAGCAUUUGACGGUACUACCGGAGGAAGCACCGGCUAACUCCGUGCCAGCAGCCGCGGUAAUACGGAGGGUGCAAGCGUUGUUCGGAAUUAUUGGGCGUAAAGCGCGUGUAGGCGGUCAGGUAAGUCAGAUGUGAAAGCCUUCCGCUUAACGGAAGAAGUGCAUUUGAAACUGCUUGGCUAGAGUACGGGAGAGGAGAGUGGAAUUCCCGGUGUAGAGGUGAAAUUCGUAGAUAUCGGGAGGAACACCAGUGGCGAAGGCGGCUCUCUGGUCCGAUACUGACGCUGAGACGCGAAAGCGUGGGGAGCAAACAGGAUUAGA